GACGAACGCUGGCGGCGUGCUUAACACAUGCAAGUCGAACGGAAAGGCCCUGCUUUUGUGGGGUGCUCGAGUGGCGAACGGGUGAGUAACACGUGAGUAACCUGCCCUUGACUUUGGGAUAACUUCAGGAAACUGGGGCUAAUACCGGAUAGGAGCUCCUGCUGCAUGGUGGGGGUUGGAAAGUUUCGGCGGUUGGGGAUGGACUCGCGGCUUAUCAGCUUGUUGGUGGGGUAGUGGCUUACCAAGGCUUUGACGGGUAGCCGGCCUGAGAGGGUGACCGGCCACAUUGGGACUGAGAUACGGCCCAGACUCCUACGGGAGGCAGCAGUGGGGAAUAUUGCACAAUGGGCGGAAGCCCGAUGCAGCAACGCCGCGCGCGGGAUGACGGCCUUCGGGUUGUAAACCGCUUUCGCCUGUGACGAAGCGUGAGUGACGGUAAUGGGUAAAGAAGCACCGGCUAACUACGUG
RNAcentral lists this ribosomal RNA (468 nucleotides) under uncultured bacterium. RNAcentral's name for it is "partial 16S ribosomal RNA". It matches the Rfam family "Bacterial small subunit ribosomal RNA", at positions 28 to 507 of the family's 1533-position model. The record is from RNAcentral.